UGAUCCCGUCCGUCCUGUGCCGUCCCCACGGGACGUGGCAGCGCUGCCCGACAGCCCCACUCGCGGGGCUCACGGCACAGCCGCCCCGCUCGCCCUGCGAGAGACCCGGGGUGCAGGAGCCCGGGGUUGGCAUCCAGGGCAGCGCCGGGGGCUCGGCAGCGGGCACUGGGCACGGCCCUGUCUCCCUUCCAGCCAAACGAGGGUUCUGCCGGCAUCUGCCGAGCGGCAGAGCCGCGUGUGGGAACUCGCAGCUGGAUUGCGUUGUUGCUGCCCUGGAAGCAACGCGGUGCCCGAAUUCCUGAGCAAGAAAACAGCUUGGGAAAGAGAGGAUUGCUCAAUGCACCUGCUGGUGAGUCAGAGGGCGCAGACCCGAACGGGGGUACCAGAGGCAGCAGGGAACGACCCCGGGGGGACCAGCCCCUCGCUCUGGCAGAGAAUUGGCACUCCGGGCUCGGCUCUGGCCUGAGCCCUGCCCCGAACCAGUGCCAGGGCGCUGGGCUGGGUUUGGCCAGGUGCCCGGGGCCAGAGCUGCCCCGGCCAGCAGCAUCCCGCAGCCCCAGGCUGCCCCGGUGACACCGGGAAGGGGCUGCCACGGGCGGCUGCGGCCGGGGGCUCAGCCGGGUCACCGGAGAAGGUGCCAGGCCAAUGUCUGUGCUUGCCAACACCCAGCCCCAGGAGGCUCCUCCAAGGAAAGGGACAUGGAUAAACCCAUGGAAGGGCAGCCAGACCAGGGUGUGCAUCUCACAGCAGAGACACACGUCCUGCAAACAGCAUGGAGGCGUUUUGGAGAACAGACACAAAGUGACUGAUACCGGCUACGGGGAGAGGUCAAUACAGGCAGGCAGGGGGACCCUUGAGAGGGAAUGUUGCUAGAGGCUCAGGGACCCCCCAAAAGUUUUAUAGGGCAAGUUGGAUUUUGUGAAUUCCCUCCAGCUCUCUCCUGUGAGCUGCUCCUCUUUCCUCUCUAUCUGUGCAUCUAUUUUAGGAUGAAUUUUUCACUUCAGCACAGAUGUUCAGAACUGGGUUUCAUGCAGCAACAAUAUGUUCACAUCGUUUUCCUUUUUGCACCAGAAAGCACGAACUGGGAGCUGGAGUCAGCAGCGGCUGUCAGAGCUGCUGAUACAGUCGUCAUUGCUGCUCCCGGGGUUGUCAUUGUCCUGGCCCUGGGGCCUCAUCCCAGAGGGGUGGCAGGACAGAGAGGAGCCAGGGGCAGCGAGGUGCCAGAGCCGCAGCUUCCCUUGGCAGCAGCUCCUCUCUGUCUUCGCUCAGCAUCCGAGCCCCGUUCCUCGCUGGCAGCCCAUGGGCAGAGUCGCUGCUCCCCAUCCUCUCCCCAGCCGGAGCUGCGCAGGACGGACCGGCCCGGGGGUCCCGCAGGCCCGGGGGUCCCGCAGGGCAGGACCAACCCCACAGCUGCUCUCCAAGCUCCAGAGGAAAAUCCAGCUGGGCCCCUCUUGCCACCUCUGAACCGGCACUGCUCGACACGUUGUUUCUGCCUUGGCAGCUCAGAGUGGGGAUAAAUGAUGUGCUGGUGCCAUCCUGAGCACAGUACAAAGGGAGUGCAGGGACUGGGCGCUCGGCCAGCAGGAAUGGGGUGUCCAGGUGUGCUGGGCUGGGAAAUGGUGCCAAUGGACCCGUAUGGGAAAGUCCAGUUCGUGCUGGGGGUCACAGGAGACACCUGGAAUCCCUCCGGAAAACAACUGCCUGGAGGUGCUUCUUGUAAUCAAUUAAAGGUGUGAUAUUCUGAUCAAAAA
Non-coding RNA from Taeniopygia guttata (zebra finch), 1751 nucleotides. The record is from RefSeq and is a predicted model, not a curated record. Lineage: Eukaryota; Metazoa; Chordata; Aves; Passeriformes; Estrildidae.